GACGAACGCUGGCGGCGUGCUUAACACAUGCAAGUCGAACGGAAAGGCCCUGCUUUUGUGGGGUGCUCGAGUGGCGAACGGGUGAGUAACACGUGAGUAACCUGCCCUUGACUUUGGGAUAACUUCAGGAAACUGGGGCUAAUACCGGAUAGGAGCUCCUGCUGCAUGGUGGGGGUUGGUAAGUUUCGGCGGUUGGGGAUGGACUCGCGGCUUAUCAGCUUGUUGGUGGGGUAGUGGCUUACCAAGGCUUUGACGGGUAGCCGGCCUGAGAGGGUGACGGGCCACAUUGGGACUGAGAUACGGCCCAGACUCCUACGGGAGGCAGCAGUGGGGAAUAUUGCACAAUGGGCGGAAGCCUGAUGCAGCAACGCCGCGUGCGGGAUGACGGCCUUCGGGUUGUAAACCGCUUUCGCCUGUGACGAAGCGUGAGUGACGGUAAUGGGUAAAGAAGCACCGGCUAACUACGUG
This 468-nucleotide ribosomal RNA is filed under the name uncultured bacterium. RNAcentral's name for it is "partial 16S ribosomal RNA". It matches the Rfam family "Bacterial small subunit ribosomal RNA", at positions 28 to 507 of the family's 1533-position model. The record is from RNAcentral.